CACUGGCCAGCCUGAAAUUUGCUAAACCUGUGUGUAUUUGAUUCAAACAAUCAAGGUGAGCAAAUUUUCAGGUGUGUCGGAGA
Aedes aegypti (yellow fever mosquito) is the source of this 83-nucleotide non-coding RNA. The record is from Rfam. Lineage: Eukaryota; Metazoa; Arthropoda; Insecta; Diptera; Culicidae.